CCCUUUUCCCAACCAAGCAUAGGUAGAAGCCCUCUUUUUCUGGCUUGUAGAUAUUUGCCACAAAAAUUUUAGUGAUUCAUAAACUACCACACCGUCUUUAAUCAUCUACUAACCGACUCAAAUUUCCAAUAAGAAGAAUACAACCUAUCAAUCUCCCAAUCAGAUGAAGUUCCUCUCUCUCACCCCAAGUACACAACCAGUGUCUCUCUGGAACGCGUACAUGGAUAACAUCAUCAAUUUCUUCUCUAAUACUUCACCACUGCUUCUCCGCUUCUCUAUGCUUCGUGCCUUUGAGCCUAUGUGCCGCUCAGGAGGGAAGAGUCCCCUUCUAUUUUCUAGCACCACAUGAGCUGACGGCAGUGUACGUUCCACCGCCUCACCCUAUUCAGGACCUUAUUUGCCCUAGCAAUUUCCCUAUCUUUGACGCCCUCCUCCAUAUUGUGGCUCUCCAAACCAUCGUACAGCUCCGCCUCUGCCAUUAUCACCUCGUACAGAUUCCAUCAACGACCGCCUCCUUCCAGUGUCAACGUCUUCACACCUCCACUUCAGCAUUGCCAGCGUUGACUCAUCAACCAUCGUCCGUGUCGGCUUUGCAUCCUCAGCCCUUCACCAUAUGACCCACCACCUCAGUCGUCUGCUUCUUCACCCUCCGAUGAAUCCUCUAUUUUUCCAUAUAUCAUCGGUUUCCCAAAAAUCCGUUACCAACGUUGAUGGCUUUCUCUUUUUCACUGCUCUUUGAACAUACUAUGGCUUCCUCUUUAACUCUAAAUUUGAAGAGCAGUCAUGUCGCCCACCACCAUCCUUUCCCACCUCUAACAUGGCCUACCUAUGCUAAUACUACCGUACUUGAAACCCAAUGCCGGAAGGAAUCUCUCUAUCACAACAACAAAAAGACGGAGACUGGAAUGGGAGAAAGAGAAAGAGAAACCUGGAAAUCGAGUUUAGGUAGCCACACCUACUUGGUCAUCUUCUCAAUGUUUCGUAAACCAAUUUGUUGUUUAAGUAAGGUUGCCGUUCUUCAACUGAAAAUACGUUCUGAUAAUAAGAAAAGCUUCGGUCAAAUUUGGUGACAUACUAGAUGACUUGCAUGGUAACCUUGAUGACCAGGAGCAAAGUAUAGAUGCAAUUUUGCAACAACUACAUGAGGUGAAUUUGGAUGAUGUUGAAUACCCGGAAAAAUAACAGGUGACCAACUGGUAAAUGCAUCGGGCGUUCAUACAAGUUACACUGUUCAACACUAUCAGCAUCUUUUGUUGGUUUCACAACAGGUGGCUUUUUAUUUGAUUCACAUAAUACGCUUUAAAUUGGUAUUAAAUAUUAGCGAUUUAGCGAUUACGAUUAACGUAUUUUUGUAAAACAGCAACUACACACCUGGACCCAUUUGUGCUCAUCCAGAUUUGUUCAGACAGAGUUAUUAAGGUUACCAAAGUUAUUUCAUUCGGCUUAGUUGAAGUAUAUAGUUUAACAUACUACCUACAUCUACUUGGAUACUCGUGAUUUCCUUUCUUAA
Lactuca sativa (garden lettuce) is the source of this 1510-nucleotide non-coding RNA. Lineage: Eukaryota; Viridiplantae; Streptophyta; Magnoliopsida; Asterales; Asteraceae. The record is from RefSeq and is a predicted model, not a curated record.